Molecule: long non-coding RNA, 424 nt
Filed under: Lupinus angustifolius (narrow-leaved blue lupine)
Lineage: Eukaryota; Viridiplantae; Streptophyta; Magnoliopsida; Fabales; Fabaceae
Description: long non-coding RNA (LANG_LNC000568)
Source: RNAcentral
CCGAAGAGCAAGCCAUUACCGUCGCAUCAUCCCUACCAAUGUCUCGCCACCACUGUGAACCAUCCUCGGUUGUUAUUGUUGUUCCUCACCGCCGCUGGAAGACGAAAACCAGUCACCGUCGCACCCUCAUUAGCCACUAUAGUGAAUCAGACCCGCCUGGUACCCACCACGAACCGUCACUGAGAUAGGUUCUUCCGGCUGGAUCAAUUCGGCUUCCAUCUUCAACAACCUUUAGUCGCCAUGAACACUACCGAUUGGAAAGAAGGAAGAAAACGGAUUCCAUGCCAUGGCCAUCCCUGCUGCGGGAAAAGAAAGGAAUUGAGAAGAAAAGUGGGACUUUGGUUUUAGGGAUUUUUAUCCCAUUUACUUUUAGGGAUUUACCCCUUUUGCUACCCGUGAGGGAGAAGGAUAGCAUAUCUUUCUU